This 271-nucleotide ribosomal RNA is filed under the name uncultured bacterium. RNAcentral describes it as "partial 16S ribosomal RNA". It matches the Rfam family "Bacterial small subunit ribosomal RNA", at positions 78 to 354 of the family's 1533-position model. The record is from RNAcentral.
CUUAUGCCGGCGACCGGCGGACGGGUGCGUAACGCGUAUGUAACCUACCUUUGACAGGGGGAUAACAUCGAGAAAUUGGUACUAAUACCCCAUAACAUCACCGGAGGCAUCUUCGGUGGUUGAAAACUCAGGUGGUCAGAGAUGGACAUGCGUUGUAUUAGCUAGUUGGUGAGGUAACGGCUCACCAAGGCGACGAUACAUAGGGGGACUGAGAGGUCAACCCCCCACAUUGGUACUGAGACACGGCCCAAACUCCUACGGAAGGCAGCAG